RNAcentral lists this ribosomal RNA (468 nucleotides) under uncultured bacterium. RNAcentral describes it as "partial 16S ribosomal RNA". It matches the Rfam family "Bacterial small subunit ribosomal RNA", at positions 28 to 507 of the family's 1533-position model. The record is from RNAcentral.
GACGAACGCUGGCGGCGUGCUUAACACAUGCAAGUCGAACGGAAAGGCCCUGCUUUUGUGGGGUGCUCGAGUGGCGAACGGGUGAGUAACACGUGAGUAACCUGCCCUUGACUUUGGGAUAACUUCAGGAAACUGGGGCUCAUACCGGAUAGGAGCUCCUGCUGCAUGGUGGGGGUUGGAAAGUUUCGGCGGUUGGGGAUGGACUCGCGGCUUAUCAGCUUGUUGGUGGGGUAGUGGCUUACCAAGGCUUUGACGGGUAGCCGGCCUGAGAGGGUGACCGGCCACAUUGGGACUAAGAUACGGCCCAGACUCCUACGGGAGGCAGCGGUGGGGAAUAUUGCACAAUGGGCGGAAGCCUGAUGCAGCGACGCCGCGUGCGGGAUGACGGCCUUCGGGUUGUAAACCGCUUUCGCCUGUGACGAAGCGUGAGUGACGGUAAUGGGUAAAAAAGCACCGGCUAACUACGUG